RNAcentral lists this long non-coding RNA (648 nucleotides) under Dicentrarchus labrax (European seabass). RNAcentral describes it as "lncRNA (ENSDLAG00005034046.1)". Lineage: Eukaryota; Metazoa; Chordata; Actinopteri; Moronidae. The record is from RNAcentral.
AUGGAGAGUUUCAUCUUGUUCAGAGGAAGUAAACGGGUGACUGUAAAGGAAGACGACAUGACGACCGAAAAAAUCGGCAGGAUCUUCCAGGUACAUGGCCCCAGUCUCUACAUCACCGAUGACAGCAACGUAGCCCUAUUUCCUGGGCCUGAUGGCCACUUUAGCACUUUAGACCUCAUAGUAAGGGGGCAUUACGAGGUGCACGGCGAGAGUAUCAGCGUGGAGGACUCAUCUACCGGCAGUGUGCCAGUAACACACAACCCUACCCGCUUUUCCUUCCACCGCCCACCCAGCGCUGCUGCAGGUUCUGGUGCAAGGGCUUCUGCAAAUCCAAGAGCUACCCUGGCAAAAACAUUCCAAAGGAACAUCUUCAUCGCUGAACUUGUGAAUGGCAACUUGGAGACAAGCAAAACGCUGACUGUGCGUUUUUCAGAAUUUGAGGCUUCUGUUAUGGGCAUCCUCAGCAAAGUCAAUGAUGCUCUUGAAGAAGAGGAUUCACGCAUCCUCACUGACGGCCAGGGAAACAAAAUCUUGGACUCGGAAGGAACCAGAGUCGACGAGAAGAUACAGGCCUCGAAGGCGUUUUUGAUAGAAUUGAAGAGGUGGUCCUGGCAGCCCAGGGACUGCAAGAAGUGUCCACUACAAUGA